Molecule: transfer RNA, 85 nt
Filed under: Hypoxylon cercidicola
Lineage: Eukaryota; Fungi; Ascomycota; Sordariomycetes; Xylariales; Hypoxylaceae
Description: tRNA-His
Rfam family: tRNA
About the family: Transfer RNA (tRNA) molecules are approximately 80 nucleotides in length.
Source: RNAcentral
GGUGGUUUCGUAUAGUGGUUAGUACAACACGUUGUGGUCCAAUCCAAAUUCCGUGUAAACCUGGGUUCGAUUCCCAGAACUGCCA